UGAACCAAAUGGAAGUCUUAAACCGUUUGCUGUACACAUUUAAUCCUUUGAUCACUCAUCAUCUUUCAAAGAUCUAGAAUUAUUAACAACUAGUAUCGGUUUAAUUUACCUUGACAGGGUAACGUCUAGCAAGUGACAAAUCAGCAUAAUAAUUAAGCACACACUCCCGAUUCAUUCCUGGACAUUCUUCCUGUACAAUAUCACUGGUAGCAAUAUUAAAUAUAAAAUUUGUGAAACAUAAUAGAAUGAACAGACGAGGUCUGUUUCUGACCAUACUUGUUUAUGCCAGUAUAUUGUUUCUCUGAAACUUGAUAUAUUUAUUAUUUUAUUAGUCACGUUUGUCGUUUACACACCGUACUGAAACAGCCUCGUCCCUAUAUCUAUUCUGUGCUCGUACCCAGGCGCU
Paramuricea clavata is the source of this 406-nucleotide non-coding RNA. The record is from the annotation of a GenBank genome assembly. Lineage: Eukaryota; Metazoa; Cnidaria; Anthozoa; Malacalcyonacea; Plexauridae.